CUCUCCUUAGCAACUUUGUUCCGAGAGUAUAAUAAAAUACAAAUAGAACUCUGAACGCUAUGUAUUUGGUUUGUUAUAACUAAUCAGCUGAUUCCUGUUUACUUCUAUUUGCUUUUGGUUAGAUUUGUGUUUGAAUUUGAAUUUCUUUCAAUUUGCUAUUUUCGACGGUUUCUGGAUUAAUGGAGUAGUAUAAUAUUAUACAGGCAUAAGCAAAGUGGGUGCGUUCCAACCCAACAAAAAAGUGGCUGUUGAGAAAUGAGAAAUCAUUGGUUAAAUUUUGAGACAAAACAAGUAUUUUGAAACGAUUUGCAAAAGAGAACAACGUUGCGGUGGACUGGAAGGUGACUGUUUCUGCAUGCGAAUGGAAGUAAAGCAAAUAGAAAGUAUUGAGGACAAUUACGAUUUUGUGCAAAUGGUUCGGACCAUAAAAUGGAGUGGAAUGACUUUCACUUUACUUAAAAUGUGUACGUUUUUUAUGAAAUGGAUGGAAUUUUCGGCGGAAGACUGGUUGAGUCGGUAGUGUCAUCGAGAUUUUGUUAACUGAAACUAUUCAGAUGACGAAAGCGAAUGUGGAAAAAGGACGAUCCGUAAAGGAAUCUAUUUCACAACUACGCCAUCAGAUAUCCUACAAUUUUAUUCUGAAAUUAUCCAGCUGGAAAAACAGACAAUUGAGCAAGAAAUGAUUUUUAGAGAGAAUGACUUGUAAUUUUGAGAAAGAGAAUUGGUGAUUAAAGAAAAACAAAUGGAGUUAAGAGAAAAGCAACAAUUAGUACUAAAAGUAAAAAAUGGAAAUAAAACUGAAAGAACCGCAAAAUCAAGAAAAAUGAAAAAUAAUGGAAUUACAAAUGGAAGAAAGAUUGGCAGUGGAUGUUUUGAAGCACAAAUAUAGACAAGUGCAUGUUAAUAUAGUGAUUCAAGUGAACUUUAAAUUGUUUAGAGUACCUGAAGUUUCUUUUCAAUAAUUACUUUUUCUAUUAAUUUUUAAAUUAAAAAACAUUUUUAUUUUUGUGAGAAUUUAUAAAUAGCGAAUAUACAUGUUUGAAUAAUAUA
Molecule: long non-coding RNA, 1050 nt
Organism: Bactrocera tryoni
Lineage: Eukaryota; Metazoa; Arthropoda; Insecta; Diptera; Tephritidae
Exons: 4
Source: RefSeq, a predicted model, not a curated record